UGGGGAAUAUUGCACAAUGGGCGCAAGCCUGAUGCAGCCAUGCCGCGUGUGUGAAGAAGGCCUUCGGUUGUAAAGCACUUUCAGCGAGGAGGAAGGUGGUGAGCUUAAUACGCUCAUCAAUUGACGUUACUCGCAGAAGAAGCACCGGCUAACUCCGUGCCAGCAGCCGCGGUAAUACGGAGGGUGCAAGCGUUAAUCGGAAUUACUGGGCGUAAAGCGCACGCAGGCGGUUUGUUAAGUCAGAUGUGAAAUCCCCGGGCUCAACCUGGGAACUGCAUUUGAAACUGGCAAGCUAGAGUCUCGUAGAGGGGGGUAGAAUUCCAGGUGUAGCGGUGAAAUGCGUAGAGAUCUGGAGGAAUACCGGUGGCGAAGGCGGCCCCCUGGACGAAGACUGACGCUCAGGUGCGAAAGCGUGGGGCAGCAAACAGGAUUAGAUACCCUGGUAGUCCA
Molecule: ribosomal RNA, 450 nt
Filed under: uncultured bacterium
Lineage: Bacteria
Description: partial 16S ribosomal RNA
Rfam family: Bacterial small subunit ribosomal RNA
Source: RNAcentral